GGUGCUGUAGACUAAUUGGUUAGGUCGGCUCUAUGGAAUGGAGGAAAUGCGGGUUCGAAUUCCACCGGUACCC
RNAcentral lists this transfer RNA (73 nucleotides) under Acanthoscelides obtectus. It matches the Rfam family "tRNA". Rfam says of the family: Transfer RNA (tRNA) molecules are approximately 80 nucleotides in length. Their secondary structure includes four short double-helical elements and three loops (D, anti-codon, and T loops). Further hydrogen bonds mediate the characteristic L-shaped molecular structure. tRNAs have two regions of fundamental functional importance: the anti-codon, which is responsible for specific mRNA codon recognition, and the 3' end, to which the tRNAs corresponding amino acid is attached (by aminoacyl-tRNA synthetases). tRNAs cope with the degeneracy of the genetic code in two manners: having more than one tRNA (with a specific anti-codon) for a particular amino acid; and 'wobble' base-pairing, i.e. permitting non-standard base-pairing at the 3rd anti-codon position. Lineage: Eukaryota; Metazoa; Arthropoda; Insecta; Coleoptera; Chrysomelidae. The record is from Rfam by way of RNAcentral.